Molecule: non-coding RNA, 45 nt
Filed under: Schistosoma mattheei
Lineage: Eukaryota; Metazoa; Platyhelminthes; Trematoda; Strigeidida; Schistosomatidae
Source: RNAcentral
ACCCAGCCGACGAGUCCCAAAUGGGACGAAACGCACAUCUUAGAU